This 407-nucleotide ribosomal RNA is filed under the name uncultured bacterium. Its description in RNAcentral is "bacterial SSU rRNA". It matches the Rfam family "Bacterial small subunit ribosomal RNA", at positions 355 to 776 of the family's 1533-position model. The record is from RNAcentral.
UGGGGAAUAUUGGGCAAUGGGCGCAAGCCUGACCCAGCAACGCCGCGUGAGGGAAGAAGGUCUUCGGAUUGUAAACCUCUGUCCUAUGGGACGAAAAAAAUGACGGUACCAUAGGAGGAAGCUCCGGCUAACUACGUGCCAGCAGCCGCGGUAAUACGUAGGGAGCGAGCGUUGUCCGGAAUUACUGGGCGUAAAGGGUGCGUAGGCGGCGCUGCAAGUCAGAUGUGAAAUCCCCGGGCUUAACCCGGGGGGUGCAUUUGAAACUGCGGUGCUUGAGUGCAGGAGAGGAAAGCGGAAUUCCUAGUGUAGCGGUGAAAUGCGUAGAUAUUAGGAAGAACACCAGUGGCGAAGGCGGCUUUCUGGACUGUUACUGACGCUGAGGCACGAAAGCGUGGGGAGCAAACAGG